GUGCUCAGUUUCAGCAUCAUAUACACUAAAGUUGGGACAAUAUAGAGAUUAGCAUGGUGCCUCUGCAAAAAUGACAUGCAAAUUUGCUAAGCAUUCCAUAUUUUC
RNAcentral lists this small nuclear RNA (105 nucleotides) under Cercocebus atys (sooty mangabey). Lineage: Eukaryota; Metazoa; Chordata; Mammalia; Primates; Cercopithecidae. The record is from RNAcentral.